AACGCACCUUGCACCCUUUGGUAUUCCGAAGGGUACGCCCGUUUGAGUGUCAUUGUAAUCUCACUACGAUCGACUUUUGUCUUUUCGUAUGUGGACUUGGAUGUUGCCGUGAAUAAACAAACGGCUCGUCUGAAAUGCCUGAGUGUACCCCGCUUUGCGGCGUAUUCGGUGUGAUAAAUCUUCACCGGAGUUGAUCCCUUUAUGGGGUCGCGUCUGUAAUGGUGUGGCUCUAUGCUUCGAACCGUCUUUUUAUCGAGACAAAUCUCUGACAAUUUGACCUCAAAUCGGGUGGGACUACCCGCUGAACUUAA
RNAcentral lists this unclassified non-coding RNA (311 nucleotides) under uncultured Sebacinales. RNAcentral's name for it is "sequence contains ITS2". The record is from RNAcentral. Lineage: Eukaryota; Fungi; Basidiomycota; Agaricomycetes; Sebacinales.